This 10409-nucleotide long non-coding RNA is filed under the name Gallus gallus (chicken). Lineage: Eukaryota; Metazoa; Chordata; Aves; Galliformes; Phasianidae. The record is from RNAcentral.
AGGAUGCCUGUCUAGAGGGUAGCUUUGCUGAAAAUAACCUGGAGACUGAACAGAAGUCAGCAGUGUGUCCUUGUGCAUUAGAAGAUAACUCUGUGCUGAGCCAAGGGCAUGCUGGACAUUAAUGAUUCUUCCUCAUUGUUCAGUUAUUGUGAGAGCAUUAUCUGGAGAACUCUGUGAAGUGUUAGUUCCCCAGUACAAGAAAGUCAUUGACAUGCUGGAGCAAGCUGGUGCAAGGAAGAUGGUCAAACAGAGGAAAACUCACCCAGGAAGGAGGCUCUGCCCUUCAAGAUAUUCAGUACACAAUUGGGCAAAGAUCUGAAGUAACUAUGAAGAAAAAUCCUGUGCAGACAGGUGAGACUAAAAUUUUGACUGUCGCAUAAAUAAGAAUACUAGCAAUCAGAUAACUAAACUAGAUAACUUAAAAAAUAACAAAAUACGCUUGUGAGUAUGGACUGUGCAAAUAUUUUUAAAUGAACAAGAAACUUGAGAAAUUUAAUCAUUGUUUUAACUUUAUACUUGGGGUCAUUUCCAUUUUUUUUUUCUUCUAAAGUGAGACUGUCGUCAUUUAAGAAACAUGAAGGCUGCAAGUGUUUGCAAAUCUUAAUUUUCACAGUAUCAUUCAAGGAAAUGAAAAUGCCUCAAAUUCACGAUGUGCUUUAAAAGACUUCAUAUGCAUUAAAAGACUUGUAAGGAAGAAUCUUAUUCUGAGAACCCAUUGAAUAUAUCAGUUUUAUUCUCUUUUGUUUCUGGAAAACAUGGGAUAAAUCUAAUGGAGAAUGUAGGAAUCUACUAGCACUUAACAUAGUGAUUCUCCUCAAUUUUUGAAUAUCUUUCUAAGUAUGAACCUAAAAUCCAAAGCCUGGGGUUUGUUCCAUACUGCAGAUGUGAACAGGCAACAGGAAUUGAUGCAAAAUCUCAGUAGGAAGAAGUUUCAGAGGCUGUUUGCACUGCAGCCUUUUCCUCUUAUAAACAAGGUGCUCAGGACACAGGAAGAGACACCUCCAUCUGAUCCAUUUUGGGAAAUUCUGUUAGGCACAAGCAUUUUCAUGUGCCCCUUGCAAGGCCUCUUUUCUCAGAUGACAAGUGAUAGGACAUGAUGCAAUGGCUUGAAGUAGCUCCAGGAGAGGUUUUAAUUGGAUAUCACAAAGAAUUUCUUCACAGAAAUGGUGGUUAGGCAUUGGGAUGGGUUGCUCUGUAUGAUAGAGUCCUGGUGAUAUUUAAGAGACGUAUGGAUGUGGACUUAGGGAUAUAGGUUAGUAGUGGACUCGCAGUGUUAGGUUGAUGGUUGGACUUGAUCAAAAAGAUCCUUUCCAUCUUAAAUGACUCUGUGAUUCUCUUCUAUGAUUUUAUACUUUUUGUGUUGAGGUGAGAAUUUUUAGAUUUAAUUGUAUAUUUCGUUAAAUAAAUAGCAUCUUAAUAACUUUUAAAACUAAUAUAACAGUGGUAUAAACUAUGCUUUCCAUUCCAAGAUUGACUACAGACAGUAGACAGUUUAGGGAAUUAAUUCACACCAUGUGGCUUAGGCAAGCCAAAAGGGUAGACAUUCAUACUGUAAGGUAUUUGUCUGUUAUCACACAAUAUUCUAAGAAAACUGAGCACUGUAAAAAACAAUAUAUGACAUAUUAUGUAAAUUAGGACCUUACUGGCUGUUUAAUCUCAAGAUGUACUCAUUAACUGGGAAUAAUCAAGUAGACGCAUAUUGAGAGAGCCUUUUUGCUAGCUCAGACUUCAUUUACAUCAAAUAUUUAUUAUCAAAUGCAGUGAAAACACCCAAUUCCUAAAUAUCUUCACAGGUCAAGUCUUGAAUGAGAUGUAGGUAAUCAAGAGAACUAAUUUACAUGUACUUUAAUAAUGACAAAGCAAACAUAGAUCUUAAAAUAAAAGUGCAGGCAAUGCAUUUAGAUUAAGUGAAUGCUUCCUAGGAUGCCGUGACUUCUGAAAAUUGAGAGCUGUCACUGUGAAUAUGUAACUGAUCAUAGCCACAGUCUGAUUAAUGCAUAUCAAAAAUGAACAUAAUGGCAAUCAAGGGAAAUGAGUGGAAGGUUUUUACAGAGGCUUAUACCUCAGUGUUUGAAGUGUUUGCUACUCUGGGGAUACUCUGGAAUAAGUUCAGAGAAGAGUCAGAAAUAUAAUUAAAAGUUUAAAAAAUAUGCGUGAGAGUGACAGGAUCAGACAAGUAAAGGGACUUAGUUUGUCUGGGGGAAAAAAAAAAAGGUAAUCUGUCUGAAGUCUGAAACACUGACAUAGAGCACAGGAAAAUGAUAACAAUUCUAUGGAGGUUUUUGAUUAUUUGUUUAUCUGUAUUUUUUGGUCUAGUAGAAAAAAUUAUAUUUUAAGACCUGGAUAUUGACAGAACAGAGGCUUCACGUACAAAACUGCUAAGUGUAAGAGUAAGAGAAAUUAACUACUGAUACAAUCUUCUAGACUGUAAUCUAUCUAGCAAUAAUAAUUUUCUACAACAGUAAAAUAUGCUUAGUUGAGGGCAUGUGUUUUUUUUUAUGAUAUAGUUUGUUGAGAUGAGAUUUUGAUGCAUCUAUAAUGCUAACAUUACGCAGCUGCAUGCUAUUAUUUGUUUCAGGAGGGCUUAUGCUUAAGACCAUUGGAUGCUGCACUGGAUUUCAAGGUAUCUGUGGAAAAUGAAAAUAUUUGUUAUGAUGGACAAGUUUUAUUUACUAACUGUAUGGUUAGGCUGAAUUUGGUGGAGUACCUGAAUCAGUGUUCUAAAGAUUCAUCAACUUACAUUGCAUGAAAAGUAUGUUCACAAAAAUUCAUGUUACAAUUGAUAGAAGCUUGAAGGUUAUACUGAAUGCAAGACUGGUCUUGUAGCAAAUGCAUUUAAUUCUUUCAUGAAAGAGGCAAUAAAUUACAAGAAUCUGAAAAGGAGACUUGUAAUUUUCCCUUUGUGAAAGUUAGGAGUGUUUCAAAUUGAAAACAUAAAAAUUCAAACGCUGUUAGCUUUGACCAUUAGAGCAUGCUAUCAAUCCCUGACCACUGGCAUGGAAAGGAAAAGAAAUGGGUAAGUACCAGAUGGUUAACAGGGUUUUGGAAAAAUACAGAAUAAUUGAACUGUCAUUAAUCUUGAAGUCCACAAAUGUUUUUGCUUGUUAAUUUGUUUGUUUUCUGUGCUUGCUGUUGCUAUUUCCUUUACCUCUUUCACCCCUGGACCUAAGUAUGUAAUUACUGAAAUGAACAGUAGAUCGGGAAAAAUCUAAAUAAAAAGUAUGAAUCAGAAGAGAUAUACAUUGACCCAAAUCUUGUUCUGGGAAACCUAGACAUACAACUGGACAGAAGGCAAAGAAAUGCUCAGAGCAGCCCAGAAAACAAACAAGCAAACAAAAAACACCAAAUAAAAGAACAAAAUGUGCCAGCUAGGGAAGAGGCAAGGUUAGACUACUCUAACACAUUGAUUCACAGCAUUGCUCUGGCAUCAUUUUUCAGGAGACUCACAAAGUUUUUAAAGCUGCAUUCCACUGUUAAAUAGCCAGGGAAUUGAUGGUACCAAUUCUGGACUUCGAUCAACUUCAGGCAGUAGUGGAUUUUUAGGUUUUCUUCCUCCCGGUUGGUGCAGACUGUAAAGCUUAUUCCCAGAAGGCAAAUAGGAGCUGUCACCUGCCAUACAAACAUCAGUGUAAAGAGCCCUGGACAUGCAGAGUUCAACACAAAACAGAUACUGUCAAGAUCAUCUUUGUAUAGACAGGCAGGAAGGAAAAGCAAACACAUUCUGCUUAUACUAAUUUACAAGUUAUGUUUCUAUAAGCUUUCUCCAAAUAUUAUGUAGAUGGAAAAGUAGACCUCAUGCUGCUGUAAAUCAGUAGUUGUGCUGUGGUGGCAGGAGAAAACAGUUAAGGGAUUCAGUUUUCUUCCAAGAAAAAUCAUACUUUUCAAAUUCAUAUGAAUCAGAGCCAAAGGAAUAUUCCUUAUCUGGCUGCAAUAAGACUUCUUUCAAGCAGGGAUAUGUGACCGACGCACUGUGCUCAGAUGAGGUCUACACUGCCAGGAGGUGGAGGGGAAAUGAAUUACUGGAAUGCAGGUGCCUAAAUCACUUGGAUUAAGAGACUCUAAGGGAUGUAGGCACCCACUGUCUAUUUCAUUUUAAUGUGAUCUUGGUUUCUGCAGCCUUGCAACCUAGGAGUUCUCUGAAAUUUCUCUUCAUAAAUAGCAGUUCAUAUUUUUAUUAAGGAAACCACCAAUGAACUUCACACCUGGGAAUUCUACCACACAUAUCCUGAGUUGGAAACUACUGAGGAGAAAUUAGGGUGUUUAAUUCAAGAUGCACUGAAAAAGUUGCUGCUACACAACAUCACUGUUGUAACCUCAAUAGUUAUUGUAUUUGCAAUAUUUGUAUUAAAAAAAAAAAAAAGUUUCAGAAAAAAAAGACUUUUUUGUCUGCACCAAACAAAACAUUUGCCUGAAAUGAAUGAUGCCACAAAUCAAUGAACUAAGCUGUUCUUAGAACUUCGUUUACUUCUUUCUCACUAACUCCCAGAGUUAAGUGGUAACUAGAACAACUCCUUCAUCUCUGCUGCUUUCUCCCCGUGAAGUCUUCACAAUUUUCACUGUUUCAAGGAGUCUAGCUUUUGAACAUGAUGGAUUCUACCUCAAAUAAGCAGCAUUAAAAGCUACAUAUAGAAUUUAAGCAGUAUCUUCACCAGAUCUCAGGCUGUGAAGAAUGAAAAUCAAAAACUGAGUGAUUUGCACUGAGCCUGAGUUAAGAAACACAAUUAUGUGCUGAAGAACCUUAAUCCUUCCUAAAUACAAUGAGUUUUAGCGUGGAUGAUUUGUGACCAUUUCUCAGAUGAUUAUAAAUAAGUUCAGCUGAAUUCUGAUGACAGUUCCCAAGCCAUGAAGGUGCCUACAAUGAAUUUCUGAUAGUUCAGUUAAACCUUGCUCUGAUUUUUUGCCUGAUAUCCUGUUUGAAAUUAUACUAUCCAGGCUUAUUAUUUGCACAUUGUAGCCCCUCACCAUAAAAGAGAUUUGUUGUUUGUUUUAAUGCAGAACAAGUUGAUUCUUCUGUUGCCUACAGAAAACUAUUUGUGGGCACUUGAGUCCACGUGUCUAAUGGGAUCCUAGCUAGGAAGUACUAAGUAUCUUGCUAUUAUGUUCUACAGAUUCUCCUCUUCAAGAUCACCUACUUUGCACAGCCUUAUUCUGUAAAAAGAAAAAGAGAGCAAGAGACAGAGAGGAAUGUGCCCAGGACUCUGUGGUACCCAGGUCAGACAAGCCCAAAAAUCUCUUCCCGGGCUCUGCUCCAAUGAAUAUUUAAUCAUUCUAUGCAGAGUGUGAAAGAUGGCACGAGAAAGAUUUAGGCUUCCAGCCUAGAAAAAUCUGGCACCUUCUUAUAAUGUGGUAAAUACUGGGCAAUGAAAGGCUUUGAAGCCAGGUCUCCUCUCUCCCAGAGGUGUGUUUCAAUUGCAAGGCUCCUGAAGAAAAGCAGAGUUCCUCUUCUUUGCCUUCGUCAUCCUGUAGAGAGAAAAUAAAGAGGCUAAGUUUGCCUCACUGGAGCCAGAGAACAAGCUAAGUGUUCUUCUGUCUAUCCUGUGAAUCCUGAUGGGAUUUUAGCUAGAACUGAAAAUCCCCAGAGUUCAGGCUCUCGGGAUAUGUGCUGAGCAAAAUAUUACGGUGCUUAUGGUGCUUAAGUCACAGCUUACAGUGACUAAAGACUUAACCUGUGGAAACUUUGGAGUACUUUGAUAUGAUAUUUGCUAACUGUAUCAACUCUGUUGUUUGGAGGAAAUACCUUUUUGUACACUCCCAGUGGAACACUAACAAACUUUGAUCCUUCUGCAACUUUCUGUUUAUGGCAUAUUCAGGUAAUUCAAUUUCUGCUCAUUUUCUGUUCAUUCAUUCAUUCAAAAAAAAAAAGUCUGUUAAAAUUCUUCUUGGUGACUAAUUACUAGAUCAAAGAAGGCCUGUUUACAAAAUGGAAAGCUUCCCAAAAAACAUUUUUGUUAGGGUUAAUGCAUGUAUGCAUUUUGAACAAAUAAUUUUAAAUUUUGGACAGCAUACUCAGAUUUUUGUUGUCCCAUUUUGUAAUAGAAUUUGAUUAAUUGUCUAAGAUAGUAUUUUUCUAAAUUAAGUAGAUUUUUUGUAGAAUCAUAUUGUUAAAACUGGGGAAAAGACUAAAAUUUGCAUCUUUUUUUUUUUUUUUUUUUUACCUAAACACAACAGGUGACUGUGAGAAUGCAAAGGGAGUUAAUAGGCAUGCAUAUUCAUGUUUUAGCUUUUUGAAAAAUAAGGUAUUGUUGUUAUACUCUGAAGUUUGGUGGCUUUUGAAAUUAAAUGUAAUGUAACAGCAAAUAUCUUUCUUCCCAUCAUUCUUAAAUACAAAGAUUAGAUUUUCCUUUUUGCUCCCAAUGGGAAAAAUAUGCAAUUAUGGUAUGCCUAGAAACUGCUUGGAUAGGUUAGAUACAAAUAUAAUGAAUGGAAGACAUGAAAAAAAGACAAGAAGAAACCUCCUUGGCAUCAGCAUGUGGAAGUUUAUCUAAAAAAAAAAAAAGUCACUGAUUAUACUAGUCUUCUUCAGAUCUUUAAUAGAAAAUGCGUACGCUUUCUAUUAAAAAGUUCUGCUAAGUUACUGACAGACUUUUUCUCACAAUAAUUUUAAGCAGUUCCUUAUGGCCGAAGAGGGAAAAAACGAGGAGCUGGGAAACAGUGAAUUAUAUGUCAUACACCUUGUCUGUCUCUGCCAAGCAGUUCUAGAACUGGCUACAGUGGGUUUCCUAGGGACAACAAACAAACACACAACUAAAUUUCUCCUGUUAAAUGUUAAAAAAGUACUCUCAUACUCUAGAUCUUCCAUCUAUUUUAACUCCAGAUUCCCUUGAAGAUUCCAUGCAAGAUAAUUGUAGCCCCAACCAACCUCCUUGGGCAGGAAAGGUAUGAAGAUACAGCUAGAUAAACUCAAUCAAAUCCCUUCUUGACUGGAAGAACAAUUCAUGUCUUCUCAAAUCAUGGACAAUGUCUCUAAUUUCUCUUUCUGAGUGCCUUAAGUCUUCUUUAUUUGAGGACCAAACACUCAAUGUGAAUUAAUUAGUCUAUUCUACUAAUGAUUAAAUCUCAGUGGUGCAAAGUUCAGUUGCUAAACAUAGGCAUCCAACAUGAAUGAGCAGUCCCAAGAUAUCAGAGAUAUUUAUUUGCACAGGGCAAACAGGCAUAAAACAGAAGAUAUGGAAGAUAUGCAAACUUCUAGAGUAACAUCUGUAAGUUAGUACAAAUAACUCACAGUGCCUUAAAGUCAUAUCAGUUUCAUAUUCAAUGUAAUUGAAUUAAACUGAAUGUUUGAAGAGUCUGUUCUGCUGAAGACUCAGUCCAACCUAUCUGUGAAUAAACAGCAUAAAACAACCAGGGACUUCUCUUUUCCUUCACCUGCUGUCAUAUCAAGUUCUUCUAAUUCACUGAAUGUGAAGUCAAAAUAAGUAAUUAAAAGUAUGUGCAAAAUCAUGUGAUUUAUAUUUGGUCCAAUCGUUCAGUGAAGGAGAAAGAGUGAAGUUUUCCUAAAUAAGACCCCUAUAACCACAUACUUAGAUCCACAUUUUUAAACUGCAGACAUGUACGUUGAUAAUCAGAAUGAUGAAAAAGGAAAUAUAAACAAUGAGUACAUAUUGUUUGGACAAAACCCCAUCCAUUGCUGUAAGACACUGAAACAUAGUAUAUUUUAAUUUUUCACCAUCAAGCACAAGUUCAAAUUUUACUCAUGCCAAUUGGUAUCCCAAACAUGGCAAUGUGUUUUUGGUUUCAAUAGGCUCAUUAGCUUCACUAAGAAUAGCUCAUCUUUAGUGGCACAUGAAUAUAUAAUCUUGCCAAGGCACAGGUGGUAAGCACCCCUGAAUGCUAAGCAAUUUGGCUUUGUAUUCAAACAUUGUAGGAGGCCAAACCAUAGCUCUGAGAAUUGGAAAGAUGCCAGAAAAAGGCCAAAGAUUUCAAGUCUGUUAUUGGACCUUGACAAAUGAGUUUAUAACAAUACAGUGUACACAAUAUAUAUAGGUCUAGAAUAAUAUUUUCCUCUCUUGUUCAUGUGUGUUACACAAAACUUACAGCAAGGGUGAGAAAGGAAUGAUUGCUCCUCAGCUGCUGUUUGCAGUGUAAAUGUUUAGGUCAGAUGAUUAAUUGCAGAAUGACUCCUAAAUUAAAACAUCAUAACUGAAGUUCUUUAUUGUUCAAUAAAAAUGCCUCAAAGAGUCUGGUUUGCCUAAUCCUAAUUUCCCUUCACCUAUGUGUCACUUUCUACUUGGAUUUGUAAGUUGGAGAGCAGUGACAGCCAGCUCUGCUUUCUGUCUGCAAUGUAUGAGUGCACUUCUGCAGGCUGGAACCGUAGAGAAACCCAGCUCCUCUGCUUAGAUGCGUUUCCUCUCCGUGGAGAAAAUGGGGAACAAAGGACACUACUGGGACACAGUGCCUGCGCCCCUGGGACUGUGGAGCAAAUAUUAAGGAAAAGAUCAAAAUUUUGUCAUGAUCAUUGCAAAACUGGCUCAAACAGCAUUUCUUCUGGCAGGUAUCCUUGUCAAACUUAAUUGUUCUGAUAACAUAUAUAUGCAUAUAUAUGUGUGUAUAUACUUAUACAUUUAUAUAUUUAUAUACACACAGAGUAAAAAUCUGUCUUUUCAUAUGUCAUUGCUGAAAGGCAAAAUUGUCCUGAGACAGUGAACAUCAUCCUUGAGAUUCUCUACCUAAACCCUAAGCAUUGAUCCUACAUACUCAUUUUGACUGAACGCAAUGAAUACUAACAUAUGGUAAAUGUCACAUCUAUAUCAAAGAGAAUAGGAAACAGAUAUUUUAAUAUCUUGGAAGCAGUUGAUGCAACUGUAAAAUAUUAUCCCAAGGGACACAGUGUACAAAUAAUGGCACGAACUGUUAAAAUUUGCAGUGAAAAGCUUUCAAAGAACUGACUUGGAAGUAACAGUAAAAAAAUAUCAGGCAACCAUCUUAGGAAUACAGUCUCCUUAGGAUCUUUAUAUAAAGGAGGAGUCUUGAGACAACUAAUCCAUAAUCUCCAUUACCCUUCCAGGCAUUUCUCUCUUUUAUCUAUUGAACAAACCUAGAGCAACUGUACACAGAACUAACUGCUACAUUCGUGCAGUGACAUCUGAAUGCAGUGAUUUUGGCCUUAGGAAACUACAGAACUCAUUUUCACCUCAGAUAUAAAUUCAGUCUUUGAACUGAGUCAAUUAAACAUAUGAUGUUUAACACUUCCAAACAGUGAACUGUGCACUAUGGCUUGCCAACAACAGCUCAAUACUUUACAAGAUAAUAAUAUAUUACAUGAAUACCAAAAAAAGGCAUUUUUAAUAAAAGUUUCCUAGCUCAAGCACAGCUAUUUCCUUAAUUUCUUUCUCUUCUUAAUUUAUGGGCUGUGACAGUAACUAGUUCACAACUUGCUGGUUGAUUUGCUGAGUGUAAAAGCAUAUAGUAAGUCAGAUAAAGCCAUUUCAAAGAUCCAGACUGUGGGGCAGAGCAGGUCUGUGCCAAGUUGUCCAGGAAACCUACAUGAAAGAGGGUUAAGUCAUCAGAAAGUGAUAAGUACAAAGAUUUAUUAAUUUGGCUACGAUUUAUUCAUUUAAACAUUGGGCUCCAAACUUUGAAAUCUGCUACUCUGGAAUUGUUCACGAGGGUAUUAAUAAUUUUCCUGAUUACAAAAGAAGAGAAUUACCAGCUAUCAAAAUGCAUUACUGCAUUAUUUUUAGCUAAUGAAUUUUAGUGAUUAGCAACAGUUCCAAAAGAAUAUAUAUAUAUAUUAGUGUAUAUAUAUCUCUCCUAAAAACAAAAAAAAGUUUAGAACUUCAGUCUACUUUUUUUCAAGCUUUAGUCUCUUGUAAUCUUGCACUCACUACUUCAGAACUCAUCAUAUUUCAAAAUGUAUUUAUUCACUCAGUGAGAUUUCAAAAGCACCUCAUGUACAAGUCCCAUUGAUUUCUGGAAAAAAUUAGAACAUUUUUUAUGAUUUGUAGGAUCAUAGAAUGGUUUGUGUUGGAAGUAGCCUUGAAGACCAGCUAGUUCCAUUCCCCCUGUCAUGGGUAAGACUACUUGCUGCUAGAUAAUGUUGCCCAAAACCCUAUCCAAACUGUCCUUAAACGUCAUCACCCCUUGUCCUGUCACUCCCUGAUAGAGUACCUCCCCAUCUUUCCUGUAGGACCUGUUUAAGUAAUGGAAGGCAGCUAGGUCACCCUGGAGACUUGACUCCUCUUCUCUCCUUUCCUCUCCUCUCCACAACCCCAAAUUUCUCCACUUGUCUUCAGUUCCAGGCCUCUGAUCAUCUCCACAGCCCUCCACUAGACCUGCUCUUACAGAUCUCUCCCUAAUUCUGAGGCCUGUAGUACUACAGGUGGGGUCUCACAAGAGCAGAGCAGAGGAGUAGAAUCACCUCCCAUGAACAGCUAGCUACACAUCUUUUUCUUGUAUACCUUCAAAGUCCC